Molecule: non-coding RNA, 487 nt
Organism: Pelobates cultripes (western spadefoot toad)
Lineage: Eukaryota; Metazoa; Chordata; Amphibia; Anura; Pelobatidae
Source: the annotation of a GenBank genome assembly
CUUUACUUAGAUUACAUAAUAUUUCCCCUCCAUAAAAUUCAGAUAAAUGACCAUAAACUUACUGGUAAUCCAAUCUCUGCUGUGCAGUAACUAUUCCCUUAAUGAGAUCAUCAUACUGGCUGAUAUUCGUUCAAUUCACAUACUUCUAAUAGAGGAGUUCUGGACACCUGUCAAUCGCUGCACUCAAUACAAUGCUUCUCAAAAGCAUUUCUAUGAUGAACGUGAAGACUUGCAGUUAUAGAAAAAAAUUCAAAAUGAAUUGCUUCUAGUGGCUGUCCGACAGCCACUAUAAACACCCUUAGUAAAAAUUGUAAACCGUUUUUCACAAACAGAAGUGCUUACAUUUGUCAGACUGUAUGUUUAGGAACAGCGUCUAUGCACCCAAACUACUACAAUAAGAUGCAGUGGUUGUGGUACUUAGAGACUCGCUUUUAAUGAAAACCAUUAAAAAUAAAUAGACAGAUGGAUAAAAGGUGCAACAUAUAGG